Long non-coding RNA from Betta splendens (Siamese fighting fish), 3856 nucleotides. RefSeq lists it as uncharacterized. The transcript has 3 exons. The record is from RefSeq and is a predicted model, not a curated record. Lineage: Eukaryota; Metazoa; Chordata; Actinopteri; Anabantiformes; Osphronemidae.
CACGCCCACUCUUACCAAUUACCAUUGUGUUAUUGAGAAGAAAGAGGAAGUGAAGACAGAAGCCGCUCAGGCCCAGCGAGUCCGUUUGUCUGUUCCUCUCCACAGAGACAGAAGAAAAUGAUGGGGGACCGCACAGGUGACAGGUAACCUUGUCUCCCGCUCUCUCUCUCUCUCUCUCUCUCUCCUUCUGGUAAACACUCCGUUGGGCGCCACAACCAGCGCCAUUUGGUGCUCGUAUGGGCCCAAUUAUGUAAGGUAAGGUGAUACACAACAGAGCACAGCACAGUGGACCCUACAGCAAGUGGAUAUCUGUUCCAUGUCCCAGAGUGCCCUUUGUCUUCCUCCAGUCCACACCUAUCUGAGCCGUCGUCCAACCCCACACAGGCCUGGCUCUGUAGCCCAACCAGGAGAGUCAGAUUCAUACUGUGCAUAUUUAGGUGCGUGUUUCCUGACCAGUGACUGCCCCUGAGCGCUACUGAUGUGGACCUCUGCGACCGAGGCGUCUCCGCUUCACAGAGAAAGCUUUUGUUUGUCGCUCAGCGAGUCAGACGAAGUUGCUGCAGGACAGACAUGCGAACGCUGUCACAUGGGGUUCAAAUACGCUACACGCACACACAACUCGAGCUCUGGAAUGUAUUGACGAGGGAGAAACUUUGGUUAUUGAAACAUUGCAAUAUUAAGGCCUGCAUCUCUGACCAGACCAAAUGGACUGUUUAGAGUUAAAACAAGGAACAAUGUUUGUAACUGUCUGCGUAUGCACAGCCUCAGGGCCAGAGGGAGAUAGUUCAUUUUUAAUAAUCAUUAGUGCAAAACAAAACCUCAACAUUCUAAAACUUCACACUAACUUUAAUCUGUGUGAUGAGCUCAUGUGUAAUUAUUGCAGCGUCACUAAAAAUCAAUUAAUUUAAUGAAAAAAUAUAUAUUUAAAACUGCUUCUAUUGUAAACUUAAAUGCAAAUAAAAUGGGCCCCAGGACAGAACUGUGGGGAACACCUGAAUAUACAGGUUUAGUGAGGAUGCAUAGGUUGCGGCCUGGCCUCAUAGAGCAUCAUGGGUGUCAUAGACAUGAAGUUGCUUUCAGGCAGUAACAGGCCAAUCAUGAAGAAGGAUUAAACAUAAGAUGAUUAGCCUUGAAAAUGCUCCCAACAAAUGGAACACACGAGCGCUGCGUUCCCCUUCCUAUGGGGCACGCCUGUGGCCACGAGAAGCUCUCGCAUAUGUAUGGGAAGAUUGUGCUUUAUCAUGUAAAAAGCCAAUUAACUGUGAGUUGUUAAUUACAUUUCUCGUGGUAUGCUGCGUGAAGCCUGCAAUCAUCUGUGAAGUCCCUGUCCUGUUGUAGUGGCUGAGGAUUAAAUCGUGCGCGGGGCCGAGCGAGGAGCAGAAAGACGCGUUCGGGAGCCAUCAGACAAACGGCAGGACUCCCUCUUGGCUCUUUAUCCUCGCCGUUCCCACAAUCCCCACCACCUCCUGCCCGUCCUUCCUCCCGCAACAACCACAGAGUGAAACUUGAACCCUGGUAUUACACCCACUUCACCCCCCCCCAUCCCCCAACCUCUGACAGUGAGAGUGUUGGAGUACGUGGGGAGCAGACACCAUCCCAGCCUUCUGUCAAACCACUGCCUCCUUUAUUGCCAUCUAAUGCGUUCGGAUGACUCAAACUAUGGUUUAGGGUCACUCAGCCUCACUGGUCACUGAGGAUGAGCUCACAGGAAGGAGCGCUCAAUAUAAUUGGCCACUAUGCGACUGGAUGUGGGUUAAAAUAAAUGAGAGCAAUGUUCAGUGGUUUCUCUACUUUACACUCUUUAAUGCCACACACAGCUUUACACCAAAUAGAAAGUGUUUCCAGGCAAUAAAAAACUUUUUAAAUCUGACCUAAAUAAGGAUCCUUCCUGAUUAAGAUCCUGUCCUCUACGUCUGAUUAGGUGUCAUUGUAUGCUGAUAUGAUUCCCUGCAUAGCUGUAGCAGGAACACUGAAGUGCAACCACCUGCACUUAAAGCAGAGCCUCUGUCUGCUCAACUAAAACAUUCACUAUUUCACUACUAUUUUCAAAUUUUCUUUUUUUAAAUUAGUGAACAUUUGAACUUUUUUAUUUAUUUAAAAUCUUAAACUCAAUCAAAGUAUUUUUAAGUCAGUUAGAGAACAAGUUUCUCUAAUCCUUGAAAUAAAUAUUCUCUUGUCCCAAAGGGCUGUAGCAAAUUGUUUUUGAUGUGAUGUGACAUAAUAAUAUUGUGAUAUAAUUAAAUGUAUUAAAUAUAUUGAACAAUACAUUAGAUACAGUAGAUAUGGAGGUUAUGCAGGUGUCUGUGGAUUUAUUAAGUGCACCUUGAUGAACUAAAUAGCAGGAUGCCCAGAACCAGACUCCGCUCGGCCCAAAUCAGGACGCCUCCUGCUUUGUUCUUUACAUCUGAGAUGAUGUUUUCCUGUUGGCACACAACACAUGUGACUGUGUGUACUUCCCAAACAAUCUGAGCUCAGUUUGUGUCAACAAACAUUCACCUGCAGUAGUAAUGUCGUGGGGCAUCAAGGUGAUCUUUAGACCUGCACUGUUUGUUUUUAUGGUGAGUGGCAGCUUCCGCCAUUUUUUCCCGUCAUUGACACCUCGCUCCAUAUGGUGUCCACCACGGUUUGGGUCUGGACCGACUAACAACAAUACGUCCUGCGCUUUCACUGAGUCCUUUGAAGCCAUAAGCUGCUGCUUUUGGCUCAUUUUCUACAUCUCACUGAGCCUUGUGUUCUUGAAAUCUUAACUGAAAACCUACGUCUGGGAAAAAUGACCUCUUUGGACACAUCAGCAGACAUUUAAAUCUCAGAUUCAAGAAUCACCUACAAGGAAAGAAGAUGGAGCACGUGAGGCGGCCAAACAUCUGCCCGGUCAGACACUCCCUGAAAACGUGUGCCUCAAACGUCUGCCGCUCUCUUUGUCUUUGAUCAACAGAUACUCACUGCUGCACCUGGUGACCCUUCCUGUGAAUCCUGUGACAUAAACAGACACGGAGAUAUUCAGUUGCUCAGGCCUGAGGCCUGAAGAGCUGCUGCUCCAGACCCCCUCCACCACCACAUGCAACAAACGCCCCACGACUGAAACACGUGUCAGCUGCACAAACAAUUACGACCUAUGAAGCUCAUUUUGUUUAUAUUGUUCUUUACUUUUACUUUUGAAUAAUAUUUAUGUGGGAUCUCUCGGUAAUGCUACGGUGACCAUCACUAAGGCCAGAGUGAAGCCCAGAGGUGAAUGUAGGCAACACAUGUGUCCACUACAUGUAGACUAGGACGUUGUGAGAAUGGCCAUUAAUCAGCAUCUGCAUCAUUUUCUAUUUGCUGACAAGCCGAUCGAAGACCUAAGGAAACCUAGCAGUUAUUAUUAUGUUGGACACAGAAGUUCUUUAGUUUGUCUCCUCCGUCUUCUGAAUGGCUCUGCUGUGAUGGGUGUGAGUGAUGCAGCAGAAAAUGGGCCAGGACAAAGCCGGUUAACCAGCGGAGAGAGUGAGGGGGGGCUUGGGGGGAUGCUGAUAGCAGGGUCGUGGGAUCAGAGCAGGUCAUGGAGGUGUGGGAGUGUCUGCUCAGCCCUGACCUUUGUCACUGAGGCUUCCUAUAAUCCCGUCGUCAAAGCCCAUACGGACAUAAUGAAGGGCCUAUGAAUAGAGUUAAAUGGUGACCAUUAGGCGGAUCUGUGUUGCUAUUCUUCUUGUUUGUUUAGUCCCGGUCAGUCUCACAUUUUCAGUGUAAUCAAGCAUGUGAUGGAGGGACGCCUGGAGAAGCCCAGGGUGUUUACUGGGCAUGGAUAUCCACCAGUGACAUAACACGAGAGACGAGGGCGAUGGUAAUGGGAUGUCCACUUCACAUUAGUCACAUAUUG